Long non-coding RNA from Myotis myotis, 688 nucleotides. RefSeq lists it as uncharacterized. The transcript is spliced from 6 exons. Lineage: Eukaryota; Metazoa; Chordata; Mammalia; Chiroptera; Vespertilionidae. The record is from RefSeq and is a predicted model, not a curated record.
CAAAAAGAUGAAAGGCAGGGGCGCGGCCCAUGGUCCUCGUCUCGUCCGCGUGUCCGAGCUGGAAAAGGCCACGCUGCGUGCAGGGCCGCAUGCACGCUUAAGAGAGUUGUUGGUGAAGGUUGUGUGAGGGAUGCAGUUGUAUGGCUUAGAGCAAGACAGCUAAUAUCUCUCUGGUCAUCACAUUCCUCAUCUGUGAAAUAGCAAUCAUGAUGACGAUCUAAGGUGAUGUGAGGAUGACAUAGAAUACGAUCACGAUUUUUCCACUUGCUACAUAAUGUGAAAUUGACUCUCUCUGUGGUAAACCUUGUAGAGAGCUUGAUUUCUUCUCAGUGGCUCAAUUCUCUGGUGUUUCUGAGCAACAGCCCCUUCAUGCCCAUCUCAGAACAAACACAAUCUGCAUUCAGAACAGGACCCUUUACAAGUUGAAUGGAGUUAUUUUGGAGAACUUUUUUUAGCAACAAUAGAAGUGAUCACUCUUCUACAACCUGGUAUAAAUUUGUUGAGGUUCACAUCUCAUGAGUGAGGAGAAACCUGGAAUCAAGAUGGAGACAGUCUUAAACAUGUAAUGAUGCAGUGAUAUGGAUAUUCCCCAUUCUAACAAAGUUAAGACCCUCAAAGACAAAAAAUAUUUUUUGCAUGUACCUGUCGAGUUUUUCCAGCACCAUUUAUUAAAGAGACUGUCUUUACC